Thamnophis elegans (Western terrestrial garter snake) is the source of this 324-nucleotide long non-coding RNA. RefSeq lists it as uncharacterized. The record is from RefSeq and is a predicted model, not a curated record. Lineage: Eukaryota; Metazoa; Chordata; Lepidosauria; Squamata; Natricidae. The transcript is spliced from 3 exons.
GGAUGAAAUGCCUGGAGAGUGGAGAGCACUGUUCCCUCUAAGGAAACACGAAGUUUAUUGCUAUAGAAACAUCCAGUAAGCAUCAUUGUGCAAAAGGAAACAAUCAGAACGGAGGUUGGGGACUAUGGGCCUUUUAUGACUUGGGCACUUCAAAGCCAGCAUGGUUGGCUCAGGAAUUUCUGUGUCACGGCUGCCUCCGAUCAACCCCCAGGGAAGAAAAACCUUGGCUCCAUAGAUUCAAAGAAAAGGGACUUUUACUGUGAAAGAACAAAAGACAAAUUGAAACUAACCUCAGUAUCCAGGCAACCACAGUCCAAUCAUUGG